Molecule: non-coding RNA, 827 nt
Filed under: Zea mays
Lineage: Eukaryota; Viridiplantae; Streptophyta; Magnoliopsida; Poales; Poaceae
Source: RNAcentral
UGCAUCCUGAUCCACCCCCCCACCCCAUGCUUGCCUUGCUGCAUCCGUCGUCCUCGGUCCAUGAGAUCUGAGGCUCAUGUAGCCGAUGCGUCUUUUUUUUUCCUUUCUCUUCCUGCUGUUUCUCCAAGAUUCAAGUUGGCUGGCCGUGCUUAUCCGUGCAGGAGCUGAAGCAGGUUUCUGCCCCUGUUGGUGGUGAUGGUAUCUAUCGGUACCCGUACUUUGCGUCGCUUUAUUCCCAUCUUUGCUGGUGAGGUGCUAUGUCAGUGUUGUCACACUCGUUUAUUUUGUUCUCAUAUUUUUCGGUUUCCUUGUUCGUACCGGCGGCGCGUGCAUUUUGCGGUGGGGCUCCUGGAUCUCGCUCUGGACGGAGGCACGGAGAGCUUCCCUUGCUUCCUCAACCUGCUGGUAGAUUCACGCCAACCGGCUACCGUGCUCUCUAUCGCUUGCUGGCUGAGCGCUCAUCGUCACACAUCGCGCGCGGCAGCUUCUAUCUUAUGAUUCAUCUGUACUUUUGACUGACAUGUGAUGUGCCAUGAAGCUCUGACCCAGAUCUUUGCAUGCGUUCGCGCAGUGCUCCUGUGCCGUUCGAAGACGUUCAGAGCAGUGCUCUCGCGACGGUUCAGGGUGUCUUGCUAGCCAUCUGUAAGGUCUGGGAUGCAGGUUGUCGUUCUAGCAGAAACAUCAUUCGCCGUAGAUAUGAUGCGCCAAGUUUAUUAUUCUUGUUUGGGCUAGGGAUCUUGCGUUUUUUUAGCUAGAGAAGUCUUGUAACCAAAUGCAGCGUAAUGGAAAACGAGGUAUCUAUGCGGCAGUGCCACUUGGAUACUGUG